RNAcentral lists this transfer RNA (75 nucleotides) under Acidobacteriota bacterium. RNAcentral's name for it is "Acidobacteria bacterium tRNA-Met". The record is from RNAcentral. Lineage: Bacteria; Pseudomonadati; Acidobacteriota.
CGGCAUGUUACGAUUUGUCAACUAACUAGCGGACUCAUAAUCCGUUGGUCGUAGGUUCGAAUCCUGUCGGGCCCA